This 72-nucleotide transfer RNA is filed under the name Ovis aries (sheep). It matches the Rfam family "tRNA". Rfam says of the family: Transfer RNA (tRNA) molecules are approximately 80 nucleotides in length. Lineage: Eukaryota; Metazoa; Chordata; Mammalia; Artiodactyla; Bovidae. The record is from Rfam by way of RNAcentral.
UCCCUAAUGGCUCAGAUGGUAAAGAAUCUGCCUGCAGUGCAGGAGACCCAGGUUCCAUCCCUGGUGAAGGAA